RNAcentral lists this ribosomal RNA (442 nucleotides) under uncultured bacterium. Its description in RNAcentral is "partial 16S ribosomal RNA". It matches the Rfam family "Bacterial small subunit ribosomal RNA", at positions 338 to 795 of the family's 1533-position model. The record is from RNAcentral.
CCUACGGGUGACAGCAGUGGGGGAUAUUGCACAAUGGGCGCAAGCCUGACCCAGCAACGCCGCGUGAAGGAAGAAGGCUUUCGGGUUGUACACUUCUUUUGUCAGGGAAGAGUAGAAGACGGUACCUGACGAAUAAGCCACGGCUAACUACGUGCCAGCAGCCGCGGUAAUACGUAGGUGGCAAGCGUUGUCCGGAUUUACUGGGUGUAAAGGGCGUGUAGCCGGGUUGACAAGUCAGAUGUGAAAUCCUGCGGCUUAACCGCAGAACUGCAUUUGAAACUGUUGAUCUUGAGUACUGGAGAGGCAGACGGAAUUCCUAGUGUAGCGGUGAAAUGCGUAGAUAUUAGGAGGAACAGCAGUGGCGAAGGCGGUCUGCUGGACAGCAACUGACGGUGAGGCGCGAAAGCGUGGGGAGCAAACAGGAUUAGAUACCCUUGUAGUC